Long non-coding RNA from Diachasmimorpha longicaudata, 765 nucleotides. RefSeq lists it as uncharacterized. The record is from RefSeq and is a predicted model, not a curated record. NCBI's taxonomy places the organism in Eukaryota, Metazoa, Arthropoda, Insecta, Hymenoptera, Braconidae. The transcript has 3 exons.
UGUUUGUCCUUUUUACAACAGGACAUACUGCGUCACAUCGAAGUGAAAUUGGGACACCUAAAAGAAGUGGAUUUUCAAAGACUUCCAUUCGGAAGUAAAAACUACUAAUUAUUUAAUAGGACAUCCGGGUGGAUACAUUUCAAUUAAUUACGCUGUGCGGCAGAUGUACACGGUGGAAAGAUGGUCGAAGCAGAGUGAUUAUCAGGAGGAAACGAGUAUCACGUGUACGAUAAAUACAAUCCUCCCCCUUCCCCCUCCGUUGAAGCACUCAACCGAAAACAGCGCUCGUUCUUCGGAACACCUUGACGCCCCCAAGGGGAUAACAAACACUCUCUGCUCUGUAGUUCAUCCUACUCUGCACACGUAAUAAAACCAACAGUAGAAACAUUUUUCCAUACACGAGGCUUUUAGGGCGCUGGACUUGUAUUCAUGGACAUCCUGGGUGUCACGACGGAUGACGAAGUGUGAUCCGUAGGUGAAAAUCACCUCGCAGGUUAUGGUUUUCAGAAAAAAAAAAAUUAAAAAAAAGAGUUGCCUCCUAAGCAUCACCAAGUGAAACUUUCGACUAUGAGGUUACUCCACAUAGAUACUGUUACAUGUCCCCCUUCGAAUAUCAUUCAUUUGUCUAUGAUCUGAACUUGGUAAGAAGAACGACUGUCUUUUGGAUAACAUUCGUCUUGGCGUGUCUCUCUUCGGAGCUCUUACAUGACACAUCGUAAUACUUCUUGUAAUUAAUAAACCGCCCCAAACAUUUAUCAACCUGUG